This 797-nucleotide ribosomal RNA is filed under the name uncultured Staphylococcus sp. Its description in RNAcentral is "bacterial SSU rRNA". It matches the Rfam family "Bacterial small subunit ribosomal RNA", at positions 74 to 855 of the family's 1533-position model. Lineage: Bacteria; Bacillati; Bacillota; Bacilli; Caryophanales; Staphylococcaceae. The record is from RNAcentral.
AGAAGCUUGCUUCUCUGGUGUUAGCGGCGGACGGGUGAGUAACACGUGGAUAACCUACCUAUAAGACUGGGAUAACUUCGGGAAACCGGAGCUAAUACCGGAUAAUAUUUUGAACCGCAUGGUUCAAAAGUGAAAGACGGUCUUGCUGUCACUUAUAGAUGGAUCCGCGCUGCAUUAGCUAGUUGGUAAGGUAACGGCUUACCAAGGCAACGAUGCAUAGCCGACCUGAGAGGGUGAUCGGCCACACUGGAACUGAGACACGGUCCAGACUCCUACGGGAGGCAGCAGUAGGGAAUCUUCCGCAAUGGGCGAAAGCCUGACGGAGCAACGCCGCGUGAGUGAUGAAGGUCUUCGGAUCGUAAAACUCUGUUAUUAGGGAAGAACAUAUGUGUAAGUAACUGUGCACAUCUUGACGGUACCUAAUCAGAAAGCCACGGCUAACUACGUGCCAGCAGCCGCGGUAAUACGUAGGUGGCAAGCGUUAUCCGGAAUUAUUGGGCGUAAAGCGCGCGUAGGCGGUUUUUUAAGUCUGAUGUGAAAGCCCACGGCUCAACCGUGGAGGGUCAUUGGAAACUGGAAAACUUGAGUGCAGAAGAGGAAAGUGGAAUUCCAUGUGUAGCGGUGAAAUGCGCAGAGAUAUGGAGGAACACCAGUGGCGAAGGCGACUUUCUGGUCUGUAACUGACGCUGAUGUGCGAAAGCGUGGGGAUCAAACAGGAUUAGAUACCCUGGUAGUCCACGCCGUAAACGAUGAGUGCUAAGUGUUAGGGGGUUUCCGCCCCUUAGUGCUGCAGCUAA